UCGGCCGCCGGCACGGCGGUGGUGGUGGCGCUGGCGGCGCUGCUCGGUCCGGCGUUGGCCGCGUUGGUGCAGACCCGGCCGGUGGAUCC
This 89-nucleotide transfer RNA is filed under the name Micromonospora endophytica. RNAcentral describes it as "Li et al. 2019 tRNA-Ala". Lineage: Bacteria; Bacillati; Actinomycetota; Actinomycetes; Micromonosporales; Micromonosporaceae. The record is from RNAcentral.